AAAUUGAAGAGUUUGAUCAUGGCUCAGAUUGAACGCUGGCGGCAGGCCUAACACAUGCAAGUCGAACGGUAACAGGAAGCAGCUU
Molecule: ribosomal RNA, 85 nt
Filed under: Escherichia coli
Lineage: Bacteria; Pseudomonadati; Pseudomonadota; Gammaproteobacteria; Enterobacterales; Enterobacteriaceae
Also listed under: 50 other names
Description: partial 16S ribosomal RNA
Rfam family: Bacterial small subunit ribosomal RNA
Source: RNAcentral